RNAcentral lists this long non-coding RNA (1946 nucleotides) under Pan troglodytes (chimpanzee). RNAcentral's name for it is "long non-coding RNA NONPTRT003520". Lineage: Eukaryota; Metazoa; Chordata; Mammalia; Primates; Hominidae. The record is from RNAcentral.
CUUCCCUCCCACCUCCCAGGUGGUUCAACAAUUCCACUUCCAAACAGCAUUUCCCAUCAGUUUUUAAAAGCUAUUUACAAAGUGUUAUUCUACUACCACUUUUAAAUACAUCAAGCACUUCCAAAUAUCUAGAAAGACUAGAUAUUUCAUAUAACUUGUCCACCACAUACACAGCACUGUUAAAUAAAAUUGCACAAACAUAACAAUGGUUAUCAUCUGAGGUAUCCUCUAAAUGUGGCCAUUUUGGCCUUGAAUCAUUCCCUCCUCCCUUCCUUCUCUGCCUUCAAUCCAGUGGACAAGUACAGGCACAUGUAAUGCUUAGAGAUGGUUGAACAAAUUCCUAUGCAAAAGUCAUUUACAGAAGACAAGUUUUCGUAUGAAUUUCAACACAAAGAGUACAAAAUAUGCUAAUUUUACUACAUUGUCAUACACUGGCAACCUCUUUAACAUCUAGAGACUAGAUGUUGAAAAAUUAGGACUAUUUGUCCAUUAUAUACACUAUAUACAGAGCAAAACAAAAUGCACAAAACAUAUAGAAAAAUGGUGUCUGAAAACGUCCAAGUAUGAACACACUAGUAUAUUACCUUUUGCAAUUUCUUCCCUCCCACUUCCUCUAAACCAUUGAACAAGUAUAGGCAUUACUAUACUGCUCACAAAGGUGGCUUCACAAUUCAAUUUCCAAAAGUAUUUCCUAUGAAUUUUAGCAAAAAGAUAUUUACAAAGUGGUAUUUUACUACCUCUACAUUUAACAUACAUUGGGCACUUCUAAACAUCUAGAUAGACUCGAUGUUUCAAGUAAGGAGUUAAUUUGUCUACUAUGUAUACAGCAGUCUUGAAUAAACUGCAAACAUGUAACAACAGUUAUAAUUUGAAAGAGUCUUCCAAAUGUGAACAUUCUGGCCUAGAACCCUUCCCAUCUCCAUCAACCCAGAAUACAUCAAAUUUUCAGAAGACAAUCUUUCCUAGGACUUGUAAAACAAAAUGUACAAAAUAUAUUAGUUUACUAACUCUACUUUUGUCAUACACUGGCAACCUCUUUAACAUCCAGAAAGACUAGAUGUUGUCAAUUAGGGUUCGUCUGUCCUUUAUGUACACUAUAUACACAGAUAAGUAAAACAAAAUGCACAGAGAUAAUGAUUCAUCUUGCCUCGCUGUAAACAGGAUGUCAUAGAGCUCUCUGCACCUCCCCCUCCUCUCUCUUCCCCUGAACCACUGCACAAACACAAUGAGCAUUACUCAACAGGUGAUUUGGCCAUUCCCUCCAAAAAACAUUUCCUAUGAUUUGUAACAAAAAGGUCUUCCACCUCCAUGUCAUCUAACCCACUUAACAAACGUGGACGUAUCGCUUCCAGAGGCUGUCUUAACAACUCCAUUUCUAAAAGUCAUCUCCAGAAGACAUGUGUUUUCUAUGAUUUCUUUUAAACAAAUGAGAAUUUACAAGAUGUGUGACUUUCUAACUCUAUUUUAUCAUAUGUCGGCAACCUCUUUCCAUCUAGAAGGGCUAGAUGUGACAAAUGUUUUCUAUUAAAAGGUUGGGGUGAAGUUGAGAGCAGCUUUUUCAUAUUAUAUACACAGGCCUUACAUAAACGGCCAGUAAAUCUUCCCAGAGGGUGGUGGGCAUUUCCAACGGGCCAAACGUGGCCUGUCAUUCUACCAUUUCUCUCUUCUGACAGCAAAGUCUGGUAGAACAAAGACCAACCGCCCGAUGGCCGCUAACCGUUCCACCCGUCGUCGUUCGGGACUUCGCUCACCUUCCAGGCCCCUUAAGGCCUUUGUCCGUUGUCGUCAGGACUAGGUAGGUCUCGCCCAAUGGCGACAGAGUGGUCACCCGGGAACCGGAUCUGCGCAGCUCCGUGGCCUAAAGAGGCGGCCGAGCCUGCUUGCGUCCCUAGGCCGCCUUCCCGGGCCCUCCACGCCUUAAUGGCCUCCGCCGCGCGGCGUUCAAG